CAUUCACGGAGAGUUUGAUCCUGGCUCAGGACGAACGCUGGCGGCGUGCUUAACACAUGCAAGUCGAACGAUGAAGCCCUUCGGGGUGGAUUAGUGGCGAACGGGUGAGUAACACGUGGGCAAUCUGCCCUGCACUCUGGGACAAGCCCUGGAAACGGGGUCUAAUACCGGAUAUGACCGUCCAUCGCAUGGUGGAUGGUGUAAAGCUCCGGCGGUGCAGGAUGAGCCCGCGGCCUAUCAGCUAGUUGGUGAGGUAGUGGCUCACCAAGGCGACGACGGGUAGCCGGCCUGAGAG
Molecule: ribosomal RNA, 295 nt
Filed under: Streptomyces sp. SID7982
Lineage: Bacteria; Bacillati; Actinomycetota; Actinomycetes; Kitasatosporales; Streptomycetaceae
Description: partial 16S ribosomal RNA
Rfam family: Bacterial small subunit ribosomal RNA
Source: RNAcentral